GAGCUGUGAUGACUCUUGUGUCUGUUGUGAUGGCUGGGUCUAUCACUUAGCCCCUUUGGGUGAAAAUUGGCACAUCUGAGCUC
Molecule: small nucleolar RNA, 83 nt
Organism: Lupinus angustifolius (narrow-leaved blue lupine)
Lineage: Eukaryota; Viridiplantae; Streptophyta; Magnoliopsida; Fabales; Fabaceae
Rfam family: small nucleolar RNA snoR114
Source: Rfam